This 465-nucleotide ribosomal RNA is filed under the name Vreelandella stevensii. RNAcentral's name for it is "partial 16S ribosomal RNA". It matches the Rfam family "Bacterial small subunit ribosomal RNA", at positions 338 to 795 of the family's 1533-position model. Lineage: Bacteria; Pseudomonadati; Pseudomonadota; Gammaproteobacteria; Oceanospirillales; Halomonadaceae. The record is from RNAcentral.
CCUACGGGUGGCAGCAGUGGGGAAUAUUGGACAAUGGGCGAAAGCCUGAUCCAGCCAUGCCGCGUGUGUGAAGAAGGCCUUCGGGUUGUAAAGCACUUUCAGUGGGGAAGAAAGCCUUGGGGCUAAUACCCUCGAGGAAGGACAUCACCCACAGAAGAAGCACCGGCUAACUCCGUGCCAGCAGCCGCGGUAAUACGGAGGGUGCGAGCGUUAAUCGGAAUUACUGGGCGUAAAGCGCGCGUAGGCGGUCUGAUAAGCCGGUUGUGAAAGCCCCGGGCUCAACCUGGGAACGGCAUCCGGAACUGUCAGGCUAGAGUGCAGGAGAGGAAGGUAGAAUUCCCGGUGUAGCGGUGAAAUGCGUAGAGAUCGGGAGGAAUACCAGUGGCGAAGGCGGCCUUCUGGACUGACACUGACGCUGAGGUGCGAAAGCGUGUGUAGCAAACAGGAUUAGAUACCCUUGUAGUC